Molecule: ribosomal RNA, 1141 nt
Filed under: Candidatus Synechococcus spongiarum
Lineage: Bacteria; Bacillati; Cyanobacteriota; Cyanophyceae; Synechococcales; Synechococcaceae
Description: bacterial SSU rRNA
Rfam family: Bacterial small subunit ribosomal RNA
Source: RNAcentral
CGAAAGCCUGACGGAGCAACGCCGCGUGAGGGAUGGAGGCCUUUGGGCUGUAAACCUCUUUUCUCAAGGAAGAAGAUCUGACGGUACUUGAGGAAUAAGCCACGGCUAAUUCCGUGCCAGCAGCCGCGGUAAUACGGGAGUGGCAAGCGUUAUCCGGAAUUAUUGGGCGUAAAGCGUCCGCAGGCGGCCGUUUAAGUCUGUUGUUAAAUCGUGGAGCUCAACUCCAUCACGGCAAAGGAAACUGUUCGGCUUGAGUAUGGUAGGGGCAGAGGGAAUUUCCGGUGUAGCGGUGAAAUGCGUAGAUAUCGGGAAGAACACCAGUGGCGAAAGCGCUCUGCUGGGCCAUUACUGACGCUCAUGGACGAAAGCCAGGGGAGCGAAAGGGAUUAGAUACCCCUGUAGUCCUGGCCGUAAACGAUGGACACUAGAUGUUGGGGGAAUCGACCCCCUCGGUGUCGUAGCUAACGCGUUAAGUGUUCCGCCUGGGGAGUACGCACGCAAGUGUAAAACUCAAAGGAAUUGACGGGGGCCCGCACAAGCGGUGGAGUAUGUGGUUUAAUUCGAUGCAACGCGAAGAACCUUACCAAGGCUUGACAUCCUGCGAAUCUCUAAGAAAUUAGAGAGUGCCUUCGGGAACGCAGUGACAGGUGGUGCAUGGCUGUCGUCAGCUCGUGUCGUGAGAUGUUGGGUUAAGUCCCGCAACGAGCGCAACCCACGUUUUUAGUUGCCAGCAUUCAGUUGGGCACUCUAGAAAGACUGCCGGUGACAAACCGGAGGAAGGUGUGGACGACGUCAAGUCAUCAUGCCCCUUACGCCUUGGGCUACACACGUACUACAAUGCUGCGGACAAAGAGUAGCGAUCUUGCGAAAGUUAGCUAAUCUCAUAAACCGUGGCUCAGUUCAGAUCGUAGGCUGCAACUCGCCUACGUGAAGGAGGAAUCGCUAGUAAUCGCAGGUCAGCAUACUGCGGUGAAUACGUUCCUGGGCCUUGUACACACCGCCCGUCACACCAUGGAAGUUGGCCAUGCCCGAAGUCGUUACUCUAACCUUUUGGAAGAGGGCGCCGAAGGCAGGGCUAAUGACUGGGGUGAAGUCGUAACAAGGUAGCCGUAGCGGAAGCUGCGGCUGGACCACCUCCUAA